UAAUUUUAGGUCUGGCCUGCCCACUGAAAUAUUUAAAUGGCCGUGGUAUUUUGACCGUGCUAAGGUAGCAUAAUCAUUAGUUUUUUAAUUGAAAGCUGGAAUGAAGGGUUAGAUAAAAAAAUAACUGUCUCUAUUUAAUUUUAUUAGAAUUUUAUUUUUAAGUUAAAAAGCUUAAGUUAAAUUAAAAGACGAGAAGACCCUAUAGAGUUUUAUUAUAAUUUAUAUUUUUUAUUUUAGAAUUUAUGUAUUAAAUUUGAUUUAUAAUUUGAUUGGGGCGAUUAAAAAAUUUAUUUAACUUUUUUUGUAAUAUACCAUUAAUUUAUGAGUUAUUGAUCCAAUUUUUUUGAUUAUAAGAUAAAAUUACCUUAGGGAUAACAGCGUAAUUUUUUUAGAAAGUUCAUAUUGAAAAAAAAGAUUGCGACCUCGAUGUUGGAUUAAAAUUAAUUUUUGGUGUAGAAGCUAAAAUAUUAGGUCU
RNAcentral lists this ribosomal RNA (475 nucleotides) under Gonioctena holdausi. Its description in RNAcentral is "partial 16S ribosomal RNA". Lineage: Eukaryota; Metazoa; Arthropoda; Insecta; Coleoptera; Chrysomelidae. The record is from RNAcentral.